Molecule: long non-coding RNA, 1296 nt
Filed under: Macaca fascicularis (crab-eating macaque)
Lineage: Eukaryota; Metazoa; Chordata; Mammalia; Primates; Cercopithecidae
Description: lncRNA (ENSMFAG00000054653.1)
Source: RNAcentral
CAGUGAAACAUGAUAUAUAAUUCUUUUUAUGCAUUGUUGAAUUUGUUUUGCUAAUAUUUUGUUGAGGAUUUUUGCAACCAUGUCCAUGAGAAGCAUUGGUCUGCAGUUUUCUUUUAUUGGAAUGCCUCUGUCUGGUGUUGAUGUUAGGGUAAUCUGGGCAUAUCUUGUUAGGAAGAAUGAAAUGCUCUGCAAAAAUGGUUCCUUUUCCCCUCCCCAAGCUGGAAGCAUGAGGGUGUUCUUCUCCAAUAUUCCUUGUGAGAACCUAGUGAAGCGCUAGGAAGUAAAACUCACAAUGUAUAGACACCUGAUGAUUGAGUCCUCUUGGAGUAAAACUAAUGUAAUGAAUGGGCCCCCUGAUGACUGAGAUCUCUUGGGGCACACUGAGCCCCCAGCAGUUCAUCAGUUACAGCUCUGCUUUCCCUACUCCUGCUCUGGAACUUUGUGCUUGUGGGUUUCUGCUCUGGUACCAUGACUUUCUGUAGUUCCCUGUAUGUGUCUCCAAUCUUGGGAGCAGCAAAUAGUCCUGUGACCCCCACCUCUCUGAAUGAUUUAAGAAGAGUUGAUCUUUCAGUUCGUGUAGCUUUCUCGUAGGACAGAGUGGUGACUUCCAGCUUCUUACAUGCUGAACAGGAAACCAGAAGACUACCUUACUAUUCUUUUUAAAACAAUAAUCUGUAUAAACCAGAAAAUAGAACCAUCACGUUUGCAAAGAAUCCUGAUUUGUAUUCUCCUGCAAAGGAGAAGCCUGCAUGCCCCUCCUCUGGUCACUUUCCUGUGCUGUGUAUGAGGGCAGUUCACGAGAUGAGGCUGAGUGCUCCCAGUCCUGGGAAUAUGUCUGGAAAUCGGCUGCCAAGUCUAGUCUGAGAAUUCACACUUUCUUUGGGGACAGGUUAAAAAUGGAUCUGUACAUGGACUGAUGACUGUUGCAGGCUUGCUAUGUGGGAAACAAAAUUAACAAACUCUUGGGAACUUGUUAAAUUUUAUGUUGGUAUUCUGUUCACAUCUGGAAUUGAACAGGAGAGUGCUGACCAGGCUGAAGGAUGGCUGAGAAAGAAAGCUCAAGAGAGGGGAGAAGAAUAAAAGGGAACUACAUAGGUUAAAGGACACUUUGAAUCAUUCCUUAGAGAUUAUCAAGUAUAUUCUCUUGACUCUUAAAAUGGAAGGAAAGGAAGGGGAAGGGAGAAGGAAAGGGAGAGGGAGGAAGAGAGGAAGGGAGGGAGGGAAGGAAAGGAGGGAAGAGAAGGGAAGGGGGGAGGGAGGGAGGAAGAGAGGAAGGCAGGGAGUGAAGGAAGGGAA